AACAUACAGUCGAACGAACUUCGGGUUAGUGGCGGACGGGUGAGUAACGCGUGAGAAUCUGCCCUCAGGAGGGGGAUAACGGUUGGAAACGACCGCUAAUACCCCAUAUGCCUACUGGUGAAAUGAAUUUCGCCUGAGGAUGAGCUCGCGUCUGAUUAGCUUGUUGGUGAGGUAAUGGCUCACCAAGGCUUCGAUCAGUAGCUGGUCUGAGAGGAUGAUCAGCCACACUGGGACUGAGACACGGCCCAGACUCCUACGGGAGGCAGCAGUGGGGAAUUUUCCGCAAUGGGCGAAAGCCUGACGGAGCAACGCCGCGUGAGGGAUGAAGGCCUCUGGGCUGUAAACCUCUUUUAUCAAGGAAGAAGAUCUGACGGUACUUGAUGAAUAAGCCACGGCUAAUUCCGUGCCAGCAGCCGCGGUAAUACGGGAGUGGCAAGCGUUAUCCGGAAUUAUUGGGCGUAAAGCGUCCGCAGGCGGCCCUUCAAGUCUGCUGUUAAAAAGUGGAGCUUAACUCCAUCAUGGCAGUGGAAACUGUUGGGCUUGAGUGUGGUAGGGGCAGAGGGAAUACCCGGAGUAGCGGUGAAAUGCGUAGAUAUCGGGAAGAACACCAGUGGCGAAGGCGCUCUGCUGGGCCAUUACUGACGCUCAUGGACGAAAGCCAGAGGAGCGAAACGGAUUAGAUCCCCUGUAGUCCUGGCCGUAAACGAUGACACUACGUGUCGCGGGAACGACCACUCGGUGUAUUACAACGCGUCAGUGCCAGCAGGGGAGUCGCCGCAGUUGAACCAGGG
Molecule: ribosomal RNA, 791 nt
Filed under: uncultured Synechococcus sp.
Lineage: Bacteria; Bacillati; Cyanobacteriota; Cyanophyceae; Synechococcales; Synechococcaceae
Description: bacterial SSU rRNA
Rfam family: Bacterial small subunit ribosomal RNA
Source: RNAcentral